UUGCUGUAUGUGUAAUGAUUUUUGUACAGAGUUGAUUGAAAGUAGCCCACCUGCUGGGGAGGAGAUAUUAUAUACAUGCAUAUGCUAUGUCAUCACUGUAAGAUGAGACCUGUAAAGCUUCUCUUUCCGUCUUUUGCGUUUUACAAAAAAACAAUACCCAUUCAAUGCAAUCCUAACUUUUAAUUUGUUUUAUAAUAUCAUUUAUGCUUGUUCUAUAUAGAAAAAUACCAGAUACGUCAGUGUGGUUAAUAAGUGAGGUUCAGUUGGAACAGUUUAAAUGUUGGCCAGGUGCAGUUUGAAGAAACUUUAUCUAGUCUUUCUAUCAAUACAAAAAGAGACGCACGACCACAAAAGAAAAUGUUACGCUGAACUAACCAAUCACAACAUACAUUUCCUUUAAUGGAAAAAUUCUCUCCUUUCAUGAUAGCCAGCUUUGCAUAGUUUACGGUAUCUACAGGUCAUCAACAAACACGGACAGAAUGCUUUUUCUUCUCACUGCUCUCUUAGGAGUUGUUUUCUGUAGUCAUGGUAAGCUGUCUGGACCAGAGUUAGUGGUAAGAGUCAGCCCGGGUGAUAACAUCACUCUUCACUGUGACUGCCAAAGAUCAAGCGGCAAAUUCAUAGCUUGGUUUAGGAACUGUUCUCAUGAGAACCAGCCUUCACUCAUUCUAAGGACAAACUACAAAUAUGACCCAUCAUACCUUGAGGACAAAGUAAAUAUUCUCAAUCCAUUCCCUCGUUUGCAUUUAGUGGAAAACCAGUCUUCUGACUCCUAUGACCUGUUGAUCAUGAACACUACUGAUUCUGAUGAGGGUCUCUACUACUGUGGAACUGAACAGAAGGAGGUUGACACAACAUUUCCUCAGAAAUAUAUUUACAAAUACGGCAACAUCACAACCAGGAUUCUGCUGAACUCCACUGUGACUUGUCAUGACAUCCGCAAACCUCAGGAGGACUGUAGCCUGUGCUGGAAGCUGCUUUUCACUCUGUGUCCUUUUAUUGUUGCUCUCUUCUCUCUCUUCUCCUCUGUACUGUUUUACCAGCUUCGCCAAAAAAUAGGUACCUGCUAUAUUUUUAACUUCCAUCUCUUCCAUAUGAACAACUUUGAACUUUGUACUUCCGUCUUCAAUUUAUUGUAUUCCUGCAUUUGUUAUGUUCCAUCUUUGGAAUCUGAUUUGGUGUAAAAUUGUCCUUUCCUCUGUUUUCUGUAGAAAAUAAUAAAUCUCAAGAUGACAUGAAGACAACUGAAAGCCAAAGUCACAUAAAACAGGUAAUCAAUAAGUAACAGACUAUCUUGGUGUUGCAGUUACAAUUUUCAGUUUAGGUUGCAGUGUUUUGUUUUGUUUCGCGUUUUUUUUGGCUUGCUGUUUACUUACAAACUCUAAUACUAUAAUAACAACAAUCUUGAAAUCUCAGGAUGAAGAUGUGUGUUAUGCUGCUCUGGAAAUUCGUCAAGCAUCACAGAGACCAAAAAAGAAGAAAAUUCAAAGUUCAGACUUUAGCACAUAUUCCUCCAUCAAUACUUCCCAGAUAUAAGAAUAUUCACAUUUAAAAAUAUGAUAACAAGGUAGUUUUCUACCACAUUUAAGAUGAAAAGCAAAUGAUAGAUUUGGACCUUCUUGUUUUAUCAGCUUUUCAAACCAACUUUGACAUGCUAUUCACAAACCCGUGAUUUUAUCUUGUUUUCAGUCGCUUUGGCUGAAGACCUUUGAUGACUUGAUAUUGUUGUACUGCUUAAUAGAUUCCUCACAGCAGAUAUUUCCAGAAGUAAACUGUGUUGAAUUAAUAGUGGCAUAAAAAGAGAAUGAAGUUUGCCUAGUUAGUUCAAAUAAAGUUGUACUGUGAAGGAAGAUUACCGACUAAGGAAGUGUGUUAAGCCUAAAUAGAGCAUUGUGAGAGAAAAACGUACAUGAAUUGAAAUGGCGAUACAGUAAAUUAAUGAUUGUGUAACUGACUGAUUGCAACUGUUUUUGUAAUAUUGACUAAUGCAGCACAUUAGAAAUCUUUCAGUCUAUUUGUAGACAGAUUAUUCAAUCAGUAAAUGUAACUUUUUGAUUUGUCAAAAACUAACAUGAAUUUAACAUUUUCCUCAUUUUGGGGUAAUGUCUGACCUGAAUGCGCUUCAUUAGUAUGUCCAUAUUACUUUAUUAUAUCUAAUUUGAUGUAGUCAAAAGUUUAAUGGUUUAAUGAGAACCGGUGAAAUGAUAAUCAGCACUCAGUCUGUUGAGUGGUAAAUUAAUGCAUUACCUUGGCUAAGUGACAGUUUUCUGCAGCAUGCAUAAUUUCCCUAGUGUUGUAUUUGCUGUUGUAGUUUUUCUUUGUAGAUUUCUAUCGCCUAUUUCUCUUAUAAUGUCCCAUCUAAAGUAGAUGGCAUUCAGUCUGUCCAUUUUUCGAGCAACAAUAGUCAAACCAUUCCUCAAAUACCCCCUUUUAUGUGAGCGUGCAUAGAGCCUGAAGUCUGGGUUAAGGGUGAAAGUUAUGUUUCCAUUUAUGUUUUGUCAAUGCAAAUAAAACCUGGCUAUGGUCAGCCUCUAAUCAUACAAUAUUUGCGGGCCUAAACAAAUUAGAGGAGUGCAAAAAUUAAGAAGGCAAGGCAAAUAAUACAGGCUUCACGAUUUAUCUUAUCAGAUUUGUCUUAAUAAUGCAAAACUGACUUUGAAUCCAAGACCACAUUUGCCUCUUGGUUAGUUUUACAGUUGAGUUUGAAAUUUCUUGUUUUCUGUUUUAAAGGAAUUGCAUUAGUAUCUUUUCAUCUCUCUGAAUGCUGAAAUGAUUUCUGACAUUGUUUAUUUACUUGUUUUUUAAUACUUUGAAGUUCUGUUUUACUUUUUUUUACUGUCAUCUUUUAUUAUGUUUUAAACUGUAAAGCGAUGUUGUUUUUAAAUGUGCUUGUUUAUAAAUAAAGAGACUCAAUU
Molecule: long non-coding RNA, 2915 nt
Filed under: Oreochromis niloticus (Nile tilapia)
Lineage: Eukaryota; Metazoa; Chordata; Actinopteri; Cichliformes; Cichlidae
Description: lncRNA (ENSONIG00000028500.1)
Source: RNAcentral